RNAcentral lists this long non-coding RNA (397 nucleotides) under Eutrema salsugineum. RNAcentral's name for it is "long non-coding RNA (ESAL_LNC000941)". The record is from RNAcentral. Lineage: Eukaryota; Viridiplantae; Streptophyta; Magnoliopsida; Brassicales; Brassicaceae.
CCGGUUUACCACAGUAACCUUUUAUCCGAAUAUUUCUCUCUCUACCUUACUUUCUCUAACUUCUCCGAUUUUUUCUAAGUUUUUCAAGUAAGGUACCGAGAACUAUUUAUAGCCAAGGCGACUCCGUCCUAGCCAUACACGUGUUGGCUCAACAUUCACCGCGCCAUGCACCAGUGCGCCAGCUGCUGCCGUGCAUGCUCACAUCUGCCCAGAUCGUGGGUCUAGGCGUAGGUCCACGCUGCCGGUCCUAGCCGUAAGUCCAUAGGUAUAUUCCCUUUGUCACGCACUUCGGCCGCACUUUUAGCUGUGUAUCUCGGCCAGAAUCCGUUUCAGCAACGAGUGUAAAGACUAAUCCAGCCUUAGCCUUUGUAGGUCCGUGAUAACACCAUAUUUUGAC